GAUGAAGAACGUAGCAAAUGCGAUAAGUAAUGUGAAUUGCAGAAUUCAGUGAAUCAUCGAAUCUUUGAACGCACAUUGCGCCCGCCAGUAUUCUGGCGGGCAUGCCUGUUCGAGCGUCAUUUCAACCAUCAAGCCCCAGGCUUGUGUUGGGGACCUGCGGCUGCCGCAGGCCCUGAAAACCAGUGGCGGGCUCGCUGUCACACCGGGCGUAGUAGAUUUUAUCUCGCUCUGGGCGUGCUGCGGGUUCCGGCCGUUAAAAAACCCUUUUAACCCAAGGUUGACCUCGGAUCAGGUAGGAAUACCCGCUGAACUUAAGCAUAUCAAUAAGCGGAGGA
RNAcentral lists this unclassified non-coding RNA (335 nucleotides) under soil metagenome. Its description in RNAcentral is "partial contains 5.8S ribosomal RNA, internal transcribed spacer 2, and large subunit ribosomal RNA". The stretch from base 1 to 119 matches the Rfam family "5.8S ribosomal RNA", at positions 35 to 154 of the family's 154-position model. The record is from RNAcentral.